UUUUAAAUCAAAUGAUUAGAAUUCUGGAUGAAACCGAAUAAUGGCAAAAAAUAAUUCUCCAUAAAAUGAUGCAUCCUUUUAAACAUGGAUAUCCAACAACUUGCAAUAUAUUCAGAAUUUUGUUAAAAAAAUUUAAGUUUCCAUCUGCACUAUGGCAUUGUGGGUUACUGACCAAGUGAUUUGUGGAUGGGCGAGUACCAACCAAAAUUUACCAAACGGGAGGGAGGGCAGUAAGGGGGUCAGGACUUGUAGUGGGGGAUGAUAGGCAAUAAAAGGGGAAUAGGGACUGUAGUGGGUGCUUAGUGGCAAUAGUGAUGGGUUAGGGGCUGUAGUGGGUGCUUAGUGGCAAUAGUGGGGGGUUAGGACCUGUAGUAGGUGGUUAGAGGCACUAGUGGGGGGUUAGAACCUGUAGUAGGUGGUUAGAGGCAAUAUUGGGGGGUUAGUACCUGUAGUAGGUGGUUAGAGGCAAUAUUGGAGGGUUAGGACCUGUAGUAGGUGGUUAGAGGCAAUAGUCGGGGUUUGGGCCUGUAGUAGGUGGUUAGAGGCAAUAGUGGGGGUUAGGGCCUAUAGUAGGUGUUUAGAGGCAAUAGUGCGGGGUUAGGACCUGUUGUAGGUGGUUAGAGGCAAUAGUGGGGGGUUAGGACCUGUAGUAGGUGGUUAGAGGCAAUAUUGGAGGGUUAGGACCUGUAGUAGGUGGUUAGAGGCAAUAGUCGGGGUUUGGGCCUGUAGUAGGUGGUUAGAGGCAAUAGUGGGGGUUAGGGCCUAUAGUAGGUGGUUAGGGGCAAAGUGGGGGGUAGGACCUGUAGUAGGUGGUUAGGGGCAAAUAGUGGGGGUUAGGGAACCUAUAGUAGGUGGUUAGGGGCAAAGUGGGGGGUUAGGACCUGUAGUAGGUGGUUAGGGGCAAAGUGGGGGGGUUAGGACCUGUAAUAGGUGGUUAGAGGCAAUAGUGGGGGGUUAGAACCUGUAGUAGGUGGUUAGAGGUAAUAGUGGGGGGUUAGGACCUGUAGUAGGUGGUUAGAGGCAAUAGUGGGGGGGUUGGGACCUGUUGUAGGUGGUUAGUGGCAAUAGUGGGGAGGUUAGGACCUGUACUAGGUGGUUAGAGGCAAUAGUGGAGGGUUAGAACCUGUAGUAGGUGGUUAG
RNAcentral lists this long non-coding RNA (1140 nucleotides) under Pelobates cultripes (western spadefoot toad). Lineage: Eukaryota; Metazoa; Chordata; Amphibia; Anura; Pelobatidae. The record is from RNAcentral.